GAGGCCUCAGGUCAGGCGGGGCUACCCGCUGAGUUUAAGCAUAUCAAUAAGCGGAGGAAAAG
RNAcentral lists this ribosomal RNA (62 nucleotides) under Lespedeza virgata. RNAcentral's name for it is "partial 26S ribosomal RNA". It matches the Rfam family "Eukaryotic large subunit ribosomal RNA", at positions 1 to 61 of the family's 3401-position model. The record is from RNAcentral. Lineage: Eukaryota; Viridiplantae; Streptophyta; Magnoliopsida; Fabales; Fabaceae.